AGAUAACUACAUUUUUAACAAAGUCAAAAUUGAAAUAAAAGUGUAUUAUGUGGAAGAAUUUCUUGCAAGGAUCCAAAGCAGGCUGUAUACCCUGACAGCAGAGAGCCUGAUGUGGGGCUUGAACCCAGGCCAUAAGAUCAUGACGUGAGUGGAAAUCAGAUGCUUAACCAACUGAGCCACUCAGGUACACCAAUAACAAAUUACUUUUAUGGAAAAUAUAUGGCCAAUAGGGGUCCAGACAUUGCAUUAUAAUUCACUAGGGCUGGAAUAGACUAUAGUGAUCAUUAUGUCCUACUUCACGGGCAAAAAAACUGGGGAUGUUUUAAUAAAAUGACCUCUUCCUUUUGCA
Molecule: long non-coding RNA, 349 nt
Organism: Neofelis nebulosa (Clouded leopard)
Lineage: Eukaryota; Metazoa; Chordata; Mammalia; Carnivora; Felidae
Exons: 2
Source: RefSeq, a predicted model, not a curated record